This is an RNA transcript of Cebus imitator (Panamanian white-faced capuchin), 1820 nucleotides long. It is a transcript of the gene named all-trans retinoic acid-induced differentiation factor-like, with no coding region annotated. The transcript has 2 exons. NCBI's taxonomy places the organism in Eukaryota, Metazoa, Chordata, Mammalia, Primates, Cebidae. The record is from RefSeq and is a predicted model, not a curated record.
GAUUGCACCACUGCACUCCAGCCCGGGUGACAAUGCACGACUCCAUCUUAAAAAAAAAAAAAAAAAAUUAAGAUAACCUCUGGGUGAUUGUCACGUGCACCUGGAUAAAAAUGACUUUUAGGUCAGAAAGUGCCAGAAGGUGAGAAAUUUGGAUUCAUCUUAAAGCAUUGGGGGAUUUAUCCUACUGCAAUGAAUAGCCAUUGAAGAAUUUUAAGCAAGAAGUGAUGUGAUUAAACUUAUAGAAAUGUGGAAAAUGGAUUAGAGAGUGAGACUGUAUCCAUAGAGGUAUGUUGGAAUAGUCUGUGUGAGAGUUGUUUUAGCCUAAAUUUAAGCAGUAAUGGGAGGGAUAAUGAGAAGAAGUUUGAGAGAUACUAAAAGUGAAAAGUUAACAGACUUGAUUUUAUUUAGACAGUGCAGUCAUGUAUGUAUUAUACAAUAUUCUUUCAGCCACAAAAGGCAGAUUACUAGGUUAUCCUUCAAACAGAUAAGGGCUGUAUGAAAUAGAUACUGCCCCUACUACUUCUUAAGUCUUUCACCUACUGUUCUAAAUGAAGAAGACAAUGGGAAGCCACUGAAGGACUGUUAACCGGAAGGGUCACAAUCACAUCCACGUUUUAAAGCUAUUAGUUUGGCUAUAAUAAUAAGAGAUUGGAAGGGCACGUAUUGGAGGCAGGAAGGCAGUUGGAAGGAAGACUGCUGUAGUAAUUGGAACCAAAGAUGAUGAUACUGUAAGUGAUUGAUAGUGUCAGUGAGGAUGGAGAAGAAGGCAAGGAUUUGAAAAAGAAGUAGGAGGUAGACUGAGCAAGACUUGGAGUCUUAUUCUAACUGGGGAUUAAAGAUGACCUGAAGGUUUCUAACAUGAGUGACUUUGAUGCUUGAUGACACCAUUUCCCUAAAAAAGAUUAUAGGCCUUGGAAAAUGGUGCCUCGCAGCUUGGGUAGUCUUACAAUCCUGGUGCUUUGGGCUGCUGCCCUGCUCCUUGCUCUGGGCGUGGAAAGGGCUCUGGCGCUGCCCGAGGUAUGCACCCAGUGUCCCUGGAGUGUGCAAAAUUUGUCCAAAGUGGCCCUUUGUUGUAAAACAACACGAAAGCUAAUGCUGCAUGCCCAUUGCUACCUGAAUCAGAAGGGCACCAUCUUGGGGCUAGAUCUCCAGAACUGUUCUCUGGAGGACCCUGGUCCAAACUUUCAUCAGGCACGUACCACUGUCAUCAUAGACCUGCAAGAAAACUCUGUCAAAGGUGACCUGGUCAACACCUUCCGUGGCUUUACUCAGCUCCAGACUCUGAUACUGACAGUUGACAGAUGUCAACUGUCCUGAAGGAAUUAAUGCUUGGAAUACUGCCACCUCUUAUAUAGACAACCAAAUCUGUCAAGGUCAAAAAAACCUUUGUAAUAACACUGGGAACCCAGAAAUGUGUCCUGAGAAUGGAUCUUGUGUACCUGAUGGUCCAGGUAUUUUUGCAGUGUGUUUGUGCUGAUGAUUUCCACAGAUAUAAGUAUAUGUGCCAGGGCUCGUUCUCACUGCUUAUGUUCUUUGGGAUUCUGGUAUCCACCACUCUAUCCAUCUCCAUUCUGUUUUAGGGGACCCAACGCUGAAAAGCCAAGACUUCAUGAACCACAUAGGUCUUACCAUUGACCUAAGAUCAAUCUGAUGUAUGUUAGCCCAUCCAGGGAGCUCUGCUUCCUAGACAGGCAUCUUUGGCCAGUGGAUUUGCCUGAAGGUUGAGGCCGCUAUUGGAAGUUGAAAAAUUGCACUCCCCUGGUGUAGACAAGUACCAGUUCCCAUUUGUGUUGUUGUCUAUAAUAAACACUUUUUUCUUU